RNAcentral lists this unclassified non-coding RNA (488 nucleotides) under Aspergillus calidoustus. Its description in RNAcentral is "sequence contains ITS1, 5.8S rRNA gene, ITS2". The stretch from base 170 to 323 matches the Rfam family "5.8S ribosomal RNA". Lineage: Eukaryota; Fungi; Ascomycota; Eurotiomycetes; Eurotiales; Aspergillaceae. The record is from RNAcentral.
GAUCAUUACCGAGUGCAGGUCUGCCCCCGGGCAGGCCUAACCUCCCACCCGUGAAUACCUGACCAACGUUGCUUCGGCGGUGCGCCCCCCCCCCCCGGGGGUAGCCGCCGGAGACCACACCGAACCUCCUGUCUUUAGUGUUGUCUGAGCUUGAUAGCAAACCUAUUAAAACUUUCAACAAUGGAUCUCUUGGUUCCGGCAUCGAUGAAGAACGCAGCGAACUGCGAUAAGUAAUGUGAAUUGCAGAAUUCAGUGAAUCAUCGAGUCUUUGAACGCACAUUGCGCCCCCUGGCAUUCCGGGGGGCAUGCCUGUCCGAGCGUCAUUGCUGCCCUUCAAGCCCGGCUUGUGUGUUGGGUCGUCGUCCCCCCCGGGGGACGGGCCCGAAAGGCAGCGGCGGCACCGCGUCCGGUCCUCGAGCGUAUGGGGCUUUGUCACCCGCUCGAUUAGGGCCGGCCGGGCGCCAGCCGGCGUCUCCAACCUUCUAUUU